AGUGAACGCUGGCGGUAGGCCUAACACAUGCAAGUCGAACGGCAGCACAGUAAGAGCUUGCUCUUACGGGUGGCGAGUGGCGGACGGGUCAGGAAUACAUCGGAAUCUACUUUUUCGUGGGGGAUAACGUAGGGAAACUUACGCUAAUACCGCAUACGACCUACGGGUGAAAGCAGGGGAUCUUCGGACCUUGCGCGAUUGUAUGAGCCGAUGUCGGAUUAGCUAGUUGGCGGGGUAAAGGCCCACCAAGGCGACGAUCCGUAGCUGGUCUGAGAGGAUGAUCAGCCACACUGGAACUGAGGCACGGUCCAGACUCCUACGGGAGGCAGCAGUGGGGAAUAUUGGACAAUGGGCGCAAGCCUGAUCCAGCCAUACCGCGUGGGUGAAGAAGGCCUUCGGGUUGUAAAGCCCUUUUGUUGGGAAAGAAAAGCAGCAGGUUAAUACCCCGCUGUUCUGACGGUACCCAAAGAAUAAGCACCGGCUAACUUCGUG
RNAcentral lists this ribosomal RNA (492 nucleotides) under uncultured bacterium. RNAcentral's name for it is "partial 16S ribosomal RNA". It matches the Rfam family "Bacterial small subunit ribosomal RNA", at positions 29 to 507 of the family's 1533-position model. The record is from RNAcentral.